RNAcentral lists this unclassified non-coding RNA (368 nucleotides) under soil metagenome. RNAcentral's name for it is "partial contains 5.8S ribosomal RNA, internal transcribed spacer 2, and large subunit ribosomal RNA". The stretch from base 1 to 120 matches the Rfam family "5.8S ribosomal RNA", at positions 35 to 154 of the family's 154-position model. The record is from RNAcentral.
GAUGAAGAACGUAGCGAAAUGCGAUAAGUAAUGUGAAUUGCAGAAUUCAGUGAACCAUCGAAUCUUUGAACGCACAUUGCGCCCGGCAGUAAUCUGCCGGGCAUGCCUGUCCGAGCGUCAUUUCUGCCCUCGAGCCUGUCCAGCAUCUAGGUGCUGUUCCGGCCCGGCGUUGGGGCACUACGGGAAGCCUCGUGCUAUCCCCCGUAGGCCCCGAAAUGAAGUGGCGGUCCUGCCGCGGCUCCCCCUGCGUAGUAUUACAGCUCGCUUCGGGACCCGGUGGAGGCCUGCCGUCAAACCUUACUCUCUAAGUUUGACCUCGGAUCAGGCAGGGUUACCCGCUGAACUUAAGCAUAUCAAUAAGCGGAGGA